UUCUUCUCCUCUUCUUCUUAUCCCCUUCUUCUUCUCAUAUUUUUCUUCUUAUUUCUCCUCUUCUUCUGUUUUUCCUCUUCUUCUCCCCCUUUUCUUCUUCUUUCUCCUCUUCUUCUAAUUUUCCUCUUUCUCCUUGUUUCCUCUUCUUCUAUUUUUCCUCUUCUCCUUGUUUCCUCCUUCUUCUUCUUCUUAUUCUUCUUCUUCUUCUUCUUCUUCUUCUUCUUCUUCUUCCCCUUCUCCUCUUCUUCUUCUUC
This 254-nucleotide long non-coding RNA is filed under the name Hordeum vulgare. RNAcentral's name for it is "long non-coding RNA (HVUL_LNC015427)". Lineage: Eukaryota; Viridiplantae; Streptophyta; Magnoliopsida; Poales; Poaceae. The record is from RNAcentral.